UCCGGUAUAGUCUAGUUGGUAAGACGCCUGGCUAAGCCCCAGGAAACUCGGGUUCGAAUCCCGAUACCGGAA
Molecule: non-coding RNA, 72 nt
Organism: Harmonia axyridis
Lineage: Eukaryota; Metazoa; Arthropoda; Insecta; Coleoptera; Coccinellidae
Source: the annotation of a RefSeq genome assembly